GUGUCAGCCGCCGCGGUAAUACGUAGGGGGCGAGCGUUGUCCGGAAUCAUUGGGCGUAAAGCGCGUGUAGGCGGCUCGGUAAGUCUGCUGUGAAAGUCCAGGGCUCAACCCUGGAAUGCCGGUGGAUACUGUAGAGCUUGAGUCCGGAAGAGGCGAAUGGAAUUCCUGGUGUAGCGGUGAAAUGCGCAGAUAUCAGGAGGAACACCAAUGGCGAAGGCGGCUUACUGGUCCGGUUCUGACGCUGAGGCGCGAAAGCGUGGGGAGCAAACAGGAUUAGAUACCCCGGUAGUCCACGCCGUAAACGAUGGUCACUAGGUGUGUGUGGUAUCGACCCCACACGUGCCGCAGCCAACGCAAUAAGUGACCCGCCUGGGGAGUACGGCCGCAAGGUUGAAACUCAAAGGAAUUGACGG
This 413-nucleotide ribosomal RNA is filed under the name uncultured bacterium. RNAcentral describes it as "bacterial SSU rRNA". It matches the Rfam family "Bacterial small subunit ribosomal RNA", at positions 505 to 916 of the family's 1533-position model. The record is from RNAcentral.